This 468-nucleotide ribosomal RNA is filed under the name uncultured bacterium. Its description in RNAcentral is "partial 16S ribosomal RNA". It matches the Rfam family "Bacterial small subunit ribosomal RNA", at positions 28 to 507 of the family's 1533-position model. The record is from RNAcentral.
GACGAACGCUGGCGGCGUGCUUAACACAUGCCAGUCGAACGGAAAGGCCCUGCUUUUGUGGGGUGCUCGAGUGGCGAACGGGUGAGUAACACGUGAGUAACCUGCCCUUGACUUUGGGAUAACUUCAGGAAACUGGGGCUAAUACCGGAUAGGAGCUCCUGCUGCAUGGUGGGGGUUGGAAAGUUUCGGCGGUUGGGGAUGGACUCGCGGCUUAUCAGCUUGUUGGUGGGGUAGUGGCUUACCAAGGCUUUGACGGGUAGCCGGCCUGGGAGGGUGACCGGCCACAUUGGGACUGGGAUACGGCCCAGACUCCUACGGGAGGCAGCAGUGGGGAAUAGUGCACAAUGGGCGGAAGCCUGAUGCAGCAACGCCGCGUGCGGGAUGACGGCCUUCGGGUUGUAAACCGCUUUCGCCUGUGACGAAGCGUGAGUGACGGUAAUGGGUAAAGAAGCACCGGCUAACUACGUG